AUUGAACGCUGGCGGCAUGCUUUACACAUGCAAGUCGAACGGCAGCGCGGGCUUCGGCCUGGCGGCGAGUGGCGAACGGGUGAGUAAUACAUCGGAACGUGCCCAGUAGUGGGGGAUAGCUCGGCGAAAGCCGGAUUAAUACCGCAUACGACCUGAGGGUGAAAGCGGGGGAUCUUCGGACCUCGCGCUCUUGGAGCGGCCGAUGGCAGAUUAGAUAGUUGGUGGGGUAAAGGCCUACCAAGGCGACGAUCUGUAGCUGGUCUGAGAGGACGACCAGCCACACUGGGACGGAGACACGGCCCAGACUCCUACGGGAGGCAGCAGUGGGGAAUUUUGGACAAUGGGCGAAAGCCUGAUCCAGCAAUGCCGCGUGUGUGAUGAAGGCCUUCGGGUUGUAAAGCACUUUUGGCGGGAACGAAAAGGACUGUGCCAAUACCACGGUUCGAUGACGGUACCCGCAGAAUAAGCACCGGCUAACUACGUG
RNAcentral lists this ribosomal RNA (484 nucleotides) under uncultured bacterium. Its description in RNAcentral is "partial 16S ribosomal RNA". It matches the Rfam family "Bacterial small subunit ribosomal RNA", at positions 29 to 507 of the family's 1533-position model. The record is from RNAcentral.